Suricata suricatta (meerkat) is the source of this 397-nucleotide long non-coding RNA. RefSeq lists it as uncharacterized. The record is from RefSeq and is a predicted model, not a curated record. The transcript is spliced from 2 exons. Lineage: Eukaryota; Metazoa; Chordata; Mammalia; Carnivora; Herpestidae.
CCUAUCACCCACACUAGACAUUGGUGGCGCCCUGUCCACGUCUCCUUACCAAGCAUGCCGACUGCUGAUACCUGGGCUUUUCUGGCUGAGGACCACCGUCCAGCCAUGGGAACAUGUCUGGCUCACGCCCAGGGCAAGCUAGAUAUGGUGUACGGGAAUGUCCCAGGAAGAAGCCCUCAAGCCUUGGCAGAUGGAGCUUUGGUGGAAAACUGUCCCAGUACCUUUAACUCUCAUUUGGGACAACUCUGAGUCGUGUCUCCCAGGACCAACAACCAGAGGAAGUGUGUGUACUCAAAUGCUUGUUCCCAGGUGUCAAUCUAGGGGAACUCACACAAGAAGAGCAUAUUUAUACAGAGAAGAAAAUAAAUACAUAGGCAUGAAAUAUCCUGCUCAAGAA